CAGGACGAACGCUGGCGGCGUGCCUAACACAUGCAAGUCGAACGGAGCUUCUUGGAUCAAGUCUUUUGGACAAGUGAAUUGAAGCUUAGUGGCGAACGGGUGAGUAACGCGUGAGCAACCUGCCUUUCAGAGGGGGGACAACAGUUGGAAACGACUGCUAAUACCGCAUAACACAUUCGGGGGGCAUCCCCUGGAUGUCAAAGAUUUAUCGCUGAAAGAUGGUCUCGCGUCUGAUUAGCUAGAUGGCGGGGUAACGGCCCACCAUGGCGACGAUCAGUAGCCGGUCUGAGAGGAUGAACGGCCACAUUGGGACUGAGAUACGGCCCAGACUCCUACGGGAGGCAGCAGUGGGGAAUAUUGGGCAAUGGGGGAAACCCUGACCCAGCAACGCCGCGUGAAGGAAGAAGGCCUUCGGGUUGUAAACUUCUUUUAGCAGGGACGAAGGACGUGACGGUACCUGCAGAAAAAGCAACGGCUAACUACGUG
This 486-nucleotide ribosomal RNA is filed under the name uncultured bacterium. RNAcentral describes it as "bacterial SSU rRNA". It matches the Rfam family "Bacterial small subunit ribosomal RNA", at positions 25 to 507 of the family's 1533-position model. The record is from RNAcentral.